RNAcentral lists this ribosomal RNA (253 nucleotides) under uncultured bacterium. RNAcentral describes it as "partial 16S ribosomal RNA". It matches the Rfam family "Bacterial small subunit ribosomal RNA", at positions 524 to 776 of the family's 1533-position model. The record is from RNAcentral.
UACGUAGGGUGCAAGCGUUAAUCGGAAUUACUGGGCGUAAAGCGUGCGCAGGCGGCUUUGCAAGACAGAUGUGAAAUCCCCGGGCUCAACCUGUGAACUGCAUUUGUGACUGCAUGGCUGGAGUGCGGCAGAGGGGGAUGGAAUUCCGCGUGUAGCAGUGAAAUGCGUAGAUAUGCGGAGGAACACCGAUGGCGAAGGCAAUCCCCUGGGCCUGCACUGACGCUCAUGCACGAAAGCGUGGGGAGCAAACAGG